GAUGAACGCUGGCGGCGUGCCUAAUACAUUCAAGUCGAGCGAACGGACGAGAAGCUUGCUUCUCUGAUGUUAGCGGCGGACGGGUUAGUAACACGUGGAUAACCUACCUAUAAGACUUGGAUAACUUCGGGAAACCGGAGCUAAUACCGGAUGAUAUUUUGAACCGCAUGGUUCAAAAGUUAAAUACGGUCUUGCUGUCACUUAUAGAUGGAUCCGCGCUGCAUUAGCUAGUUGGUAAGGUAACGGCUUACCAAGGCAACGAUGCAUAGCCGACCUGAGAGGGUGAUCGGCCACACUGGAACUGAGACACGGUCCAGACUCCUACGGGAGGCAGCAGUAGGGAAUCUUCCGCAAUGGGCGAAAGCCUGACGGAGCAACGCCGCGUGAGUGAUGAAGGUCUUCGGAUCGUAAAACUCUGUUAUUAGGGAAGAACAUAUGUGUAAGUAACUGUGCACAUCUUGACGGUACCUAAUCAGAAAGCCACGGCUAACUACGUG
This 497-nucleotide ribosomal RNA is filed under the name uncultured bacterium. Its description in RNAcentral is "partial 16S ribosomal RNA". It matches the Rfam family "Bacterial small subunit ribosomal RNA", at positions 28 to 507 of the family's 1533-position model. The record is from RNAcentral.